CAGCCGCCGCGGGAAUACGAAGGGGGCUAGCGUUGUUCGGAUUUACUGGGCGUAAAGCGCACGUAGGCGGAUCCUUAAGUCAGAGGUGAAAUCCCAAGGCUCAACCUUGGAACUGCCUUUGAUACUGGGGAUCUCGAGUUCGGGAGAGGUGAGUGGAACUGCGAGUGUAGAGGUGAAAUCCGUAGAUAUUCGCAAGAACACCAGUGGCGAAGGCGGCUCACUGGCCCGAUACUGACGCUGAGGUGCGAAAGCGUGGGGAGCAAACAGGAUUAGAUACCCCCGUAGUCCCUGUCUCUUAUAC
Molecule: ribosomal RNA, 301 nt
Filed under: uncultured bacterium
Lineage: Bacteria
Description: partial 16S ribosomal RNA
Rfam family: Bacterial small subunit ribosomal RNA
Source: RNAcentral